This 520-nucleotide unclassified non-coding RNA is filed under the name uncultured Glomus. Its description in RNAcentral is "SSU rRNA". It matches the Rfam family "Eukaryotic small subunit ribosomal RNA", at positions 569 to 1091 of the family's 1831-position model. Lineage: Eukaryota; Fungi; Glomeromycota; Glomeromycetes; Glomerales; Glomeraceae. The record is from RNAcentral.
AGCAGCCGCGGUAAUUCCAGCUCCAAUAGCGUAUAUUAAAGUUGUUGCAGUUAAAAAGCUCGUAGUUGAAUUUCGGGGUUAGUAGGUUGGUCAUGCCUCUGGUAUGUACUGGUCUCACUGAUUCCUCCUUCCUGAUGAACCUUAAUGCCAUUAAUUUGGUGUUUUGGGGAAUUUGGACUGUUACUUUGAAAAAUUAGAGUGUUUAAAGCAAGCUAACGCUUGAAUACAUUAGCAUGGAAUAAUGAAAUAGGACGUUCGAUCCUAUUUUGUUGGUUUCUAGGAUUGACGUAAUGAUUAAUAGGGAUAGUUGGGGGCAUUAGUAUUCAAUUGUCAGAGGUGAAAUUCUUGGAUUUAUUGAAGACUAACUACUGCGAAAAGCAUUUGCCAAGGAUGUUUUCAUUAAUCAAGAACGAAAGUUAGGGGAUCGAAGACGAUCAGAUACCGUCGUAGUCUUAACCAUAAACUAUGCCGACUAGGGAUCGGAUGAUGUUAAUUUUUAUGUACUCAUUCGGCGUCCUUA